UACGUAGGGUGCGAGCGUUGUCCGGAAUUACUGGGCGUAAAGAGCUCGUAGGCGGUUUGUCGCGUUGUUCGUGAAAUCUCACGGCUUAACUGUGAGCGUGCGGGCGAUACGGGCAGACUAGAGUACUGCAGGGGAGACUGGAAUUCCUGGUGUAGCGGUGGAAUGCGCAGAUAUCAGGAGGAACACCGGUGGCGAAGGCGGGUCUCUGGGCAGUAACUGACACUGAGGAGCGAAAGCGUGGGGAGCGAACAGG
Molecule: ribosomal RNA, 253 nt
Filed under: uncultured bacterium
Lineage: Bacteria
Description: partial 16S ribosomal RNA
Rfam family: Bacterial small subunit ribosomal RNA
Source: RNAcentral